UUAUAUAUUCUCCUCACCAUCCACAUUCCGACCAAACACACAAAGAUUCCCUCCACCGAGGACAAUGACGGCGGCGGCGUUUCCAUGGAGCCGCCGGCGGCUACCAUGCUUGGUGAGAGGUUUGGCAACUUUCCCCCUUCUUUCCUCCUUCUCCUUCUCCUUUCUUCAUCCGUGGAGGGCUCAAGAACCCUAAGGGUUCAAAUCGAAUCACAGAAGACUACUAGCUACUCGUUGCUCGAGAGUCGGAUGCCACGAGGCUUGGUGCCUCCUUCUGGUCCGUCUCAUUGCCAUCACUCACUCGGCCCUUACCAACUCCAUAAUGAUCGUCGAGCUAGUACUCACACUGAUGAUGACUAUACCAUGUGCCCGUAACGUUUUUUUUUCGUUUUUUUUAUAUUGUUAAUUAACGACUAUAGAUAGGUGCUACCAAACAUGCAGGUUGGACAGAUUACAAACUGAAUUAGUGGAUUUUUCGAGUCAGGGAUCAAUCAGGACCAUGUUGGUUCGUCGGUAAGGUGUUAACUUUUGAUCACUUUGAAUUUGUAUUAUUAUUUUGUGUAUAUAAAAGUAGGAACACAAUCUUUGAAAGAGAGGAAAUUGUAGUCAACGGAAUUAUAAACUUAUAAUGGAGCUUGGCUUUCCAAGAAAUUUCUCGUACCUAUUUAAUUUUUUCAUGUCUGUUUGAUAUUUCACAUACUAAAACGCAUAUAAAACAUAUAUUUUUAAUAAUUUUUAAUUUAUAUUCAAUUUUAAAAUUUUAAAAUUAUAAUAUUUUAGAAUUGUUAUCGAACAUUUAAUGUACUGCUAUAUUAAAAUAAUAAUGUAUGAAACUCCGAACAUAUUAAUAACGUACUAUACCAUACCAUAUUUUAGUAACUCAAAUAGCCACACCAGCUAGACUACAGUUUUGCCUUGGAGGCAUUCUUUGUUGUAAUUCAUCGGAGAGAGAUUUAUGGACGAAAUUGGUUACAGAAAGCUCAUAUUUGGUCGCUAAAUCUAUUUUAGCAGAGGAACAUAGCAAUCGCAGCUGUUGAUAAUUCCAUAAGAGAGUUUUUGCGACCAAACGCUAAUACUAUGAGCCACACUUUCCAUCAAUUUUCAUACAAAAACCAACAUCAAGUAUCCAAAUCCCCACCUAAAACAAACUAUGAUCACAGUUGACUAACAAUUUCCUAGAGCACCAUGAAUACCUCAUAAUUCAAAACAUUCCCGCAGUUCACUGUAAUAGGACGUGGGAAUGGUGAUCAUUUUAAUGCAUCUACUUGAAACAAUCGUACCUUCUAAAAUGUCUAACAACAGUCGGAUUGGCAGCUUCUUGACCUGGUUCGCUCCGAAACGUGGCAAUUUACAUCGUCGAGCUAUCUCACGAGCGGUAUGAGCAAAUAUUCAGCGUAAAACAGCUGCGAAAGACAUCGAAACAGGAAUAUGAUCAGUGUCGAUUCCUUUACUGUAUGAAUCCAGACAGAAACAGUAUGUUCUGUUUACC
RNAcentral lists this long non-coding RNA (1486 nucleotides) under Linum usitatissimum (flax). RNAcentral describes it as "long non-coding RNA (LUSI_LNC002381)". Lineage: Eukaryota; Viridiplantae; Streptophyta; Magnoliopsida; Malpighiales; Linaceae. The record is from RNAcentral.